UCCGGUGACUUUAGCGGUAGGGUAACACCUCUUCCCAUUCCGAACAGAGCAGUUAAGCCUGCCAGCGCUAAUGAUACUAUGUGGGUAACUGCAUGGAAAAGUAGGACGUCGCCGGGA
Molecule: ribosomal RNA, 117 nt
Filed under: bacterium
Lineage: Bacteria
Source: RNAcentral